AAAAAUAUAGCAAGCAGAAUCGGGAAAAUGACGUGGGCCGCCGCCGCAGCAAGUCGCUUUCAAAUUCCGGCAAUGGAUGUCGCCGCCCUACGCAGAAGAGCUCCGGUAGUGUUCGGAGUUGGCUGUGUAUCAAUUGCUGGGGCAAAGUUUUGUGGUUCUUCAUCUGCUCGAUCAAAACCCUUCGCUUGCUUAAGCAUUUCCACUGAUGCCAGUAUAAAGGAGGCUGUUCACACUGAAAAGGCUCCGGCAGCACUGGGGCCAUACUCUCAAGCCAUCAAAGCUAAUAAUUUUGUAUUCGUCUCUGGAUGUCUGGGUCUUAUUCCAGAGACCGGGAAGUUUGUCUCAGAAAGUGUGGAGGAUCAAACAGAGCAGGUUCUCAAGAAUAUGGGGGAGAUACUUAAAGCAAGUGGUGUUAGCUACUCCUCAGUUGUUAAGACAACUAUCUUGUUAGCUGAUCUGAAUGACUUCAAGAAAGUGAAUGAGAUUUAUGCAAAAUAUUUUCAAGCUCCUGCACCAGCUCGGGCAACUUAUCAGGUAGCAGCACUGCCAAUGAAUGCAAGGAUUGAAAUUGAGUGCAUAGCAGCAUUAUGAUUCUCCCUUACCUAUUCAUUCAACAACUUAUUAGACCUCGAAAAGGAGAAAGUCUGCUGACUUCCUAGCCUACAUUCGUAGAUUUAAUAAGCCUGGAGUUAGCUACUAGUCCAGGAGCCCUUGUCUAACUUCGCGGAGCUGAGAAUAAACUUUAUUUAAGAACGUAUUGUAACUGAUCUGCAUGAGUAUUACAUAUACAAUUGUGCUACUCUAUUGGGAAGAACAAACUUGGUUAUAU
This 829-nucleotide unclassified non-coding RNA is filed under the name Hevea brasiliensis (rubber tree). Lineage: Eukaryota; Viridiplantae; Streptophyta; Magnoliopsida; Malpighiales; Euphorbiaceae. The record is from RNAcentral.